Microdochium trichocladiopsis is the source of this 89-nucleotide non-coding RNA. Lineage: Eukaryota; Fungi; Ascomycota; Sordariomycetes; Xylariales; Microdochiaceae. The record is from the annotation of a RefSeq genome assembly.
GGUUGUAUAGUGUAGUGGUUAGCACGCAGGAUUUUGACGCACCUUGCCUCUUUCUUCCUGAGACCCCGGUUCGAGCCCGGGUACGACCU